UUACAGAGUUGUAAAAUUUCCAAACCCAUGUGAACAUACCUGUUGCCUCGGCGGCCUACGCGGCAGCUACCCUGUAGCUACCCUGUAGUCCGCCGACGGAUUUUACAAAAACUCUUGUUUUCAGUUGUAUCUCUGAGAAUAAAACAAAUAAGUCAAAACUUUCAACAACGGAUCUCUUGGUUCUGGCAUCGAUGAAGAACGCAGCGAAAUGCGAUAAGUAAUGUGAAUUGCAGAAUUCAGUGAAUCAUCGAAUCUUUGAACGCACAUUGCGCCCAUUAGUAUUCUAGUGGGCAUGCCUGUUCGAGCGUCAUUAAUUCCACUUAAGCCUAGCUUAGUGUUGGGAGACUGCUCCAGCGGUGCUACCCUGUAGCUACCCUGCAGCUCCUCAAAGACAGCGGCGGAGUUGUGGUAUCCUCUGAGCUUAGUAACUUGUUCUAGCUUUCGAGUACACCACUUCCCCUGCCGUAAAACCCUUAAUUUUUAAUGGUUGACCUCGGAUCAGGUAGGAAUACCC
This 514-nucleotide ribosomal RNA is filed under the name fungal sp. E14918C. RNAcentral describes it as "eukaryotic LSU rRNA". The stretch from base 157 to 310 matches the Rfam family "5.8S ribosomal RNA". Lineage: Eukaryota; Fungi. The record is from RNAcentral.